CUUGUGGUGUAGACUUGUGGUGCCUGUGUAUCGCUAGUAAAAAGAAAAGCGUACAUCCAAUAAAGUGAAUCGUAUCGUGUUCUGUUGGGUUCCCAAAGGAAAAGGAAAAGCAUCAGGUCAGGUCAGGUCAGGUCAGGUCAGGGAAUUAGCGUGUAACCGACUUCUCCUUCCAUCCUCUCCGGAGUUGUGUGGAAAGAAAUCAAAUAAAAUAAAAUCAUAGUUCAGCUCAAGUGAGGAUUGAUUGAUUGAUUGAUCGAAUUAGAAUUAGGGUUUGUGGUGAAGAAAUGCAGAUAGAGGUAUGUUCAUGGGUGUUACAAUGAUUAUGCGCUCCCAUUCUUCAUUUUCUUCUUCUUCUUCCCCUUUGUGCAACAACGAUAAAAUGUGUUCCGUCGAAUGCCGAUUCCGAUCGGCGUUCGAUUCAUAUUCCGUCGCUUGUGAGGCCUUCUCUGAACCUCAGCCUUCCCCUCUUUGAUACACUCUCUUCUCUCCCUCUCCAUCUCGGCGCCGUCGCCAUGGCCACUUUCCACGUUGUUGAGAAAGAUCCAACCUCCAGAUACGCGCGGUACGAUGAAUUGUUGGGGAAAGGAGCCUUCAAGACUGUAUUCAAAGCGUUUGACGAAGUAGACGGAAUCGAAGUUGCGUGGAACAGGAUAGGCGUUGAGGACGUUGUGCAGACGCCGCAGCAGCUGGGAAAAUUGUACUCGGAGGUUCACCUGCUCAAGUCCUUGAAACACGACAAUGUCAUCAAGUUGUAUAAUUCUUGGGUCGAUGAUACCGCCGGCACCAUCAACAUGAUCACAGAAUUGUUCACCUCCGGAAGUUUGAGGCAGUACCGGAAAAAGCAUAAGAAUGUGGAUAUGAAAGCCAUCAAGAACUGGGCACGGCAGAUUCUUCGCGGCUUGUGCUUUUUGCACAGUCAAAGUCCUCCUAUUGUUCAUAGGGACCUGAAAUGCGAUAAUAUUUUUGUCAAUGGAAAUAGUGGACUGGUUAAGAUUGGAGAUCUUGGAUUGGCAAUUGUCAUGCAGCAGCCUACUGCUCGGAGUGUCAUCGGUACACCGGAGUUCAUGGCCCCAGAGCUUUAUGAGGAGGAAUACAAUGAACUUGUUGACAUAUAUUCCUUUGGCAUGUGCAUCUUAGAAAUGGUUACCUGUGAGUACCCGUACAGUGAAUGUAAAAAUCCUGCACAGAUAUAUAAGAAAGUUACCUCUGGUAUAAAGCCUGCCGCCCUUGCUAAAGUAAAUGAUCCUGAAGUGAAGCAAUUCAUAGAGAAGUGUCUAGUUCCAGCAUCUAUGAGAUUGUCUGCAUCUGAACUUCUGAAAGACCCAUUCCUUGCAACUGAAAACACAAAGGAGAUCAAUCAUGAUACGCUGCAGCUGCCUAAUCCUCACAUCAAAUUGGUGAAUCUACCAAAAUGCGAGCCUCAUCCCAUGGAGAUAGAUUCAUACUCCAGGCGUACUUCACCUGGCUCCUCCAUGGGAAGAAUUGAAGAAACUUCUCAAGUUUCAUUUUUUGAUCUUGUGAGGAUGACUGACAAUAACAAAUUGAUGCUAAGAAGGGAGAAAAAUGCUGAAAGUACAAUUUCACUUACGCUGAGAAUUCCAGAUGCUUGUGGUGGAGCAAGGAAUAUCCAUUUCCCAUUCUAUAUGGAUUCUGAUACAGCAAUUUCCAUUGCUGAGGAGAUGGUGGAACAUCUGGAACUCUCAAAUGAGGAUGUAUCUGUCAUUGCAGAGCUAAUAAACGACAUGAUUGCUAAGCUUGUCCCCAACUCGAAACCCUUAUGUGAGAAACUCUCAUCCGAAACAAAUCUAUUGUACAGGCCUUCUUCGGAAGUUCAGAAUGGUGAACAAUUCAAUUGCCACUGGCCAUUACAAUCAAGUGAUUAUGAUAUGAAGGCAAUGUAUAAGGAUCUAGUUCAUUCACGGCCUGUGGAUGGGGAUGAUCAGGAGAAACAAGAAUCUGUUAUGUCAGAUAUAUCAGCAGCGUGUGGGAUUACAAUUGCCUCAGAUUCUAAAGUUGUAGAGCCCGAUAUUUUUAUUUUUGAUGAGUUCUGGGAGGGGUUCUUCAAUUCCACUUCAGAUAUCAGGUUUUGUGGGCAAGAGGAUGGACACAAGAAUCAAUCAGAGAACUCCGUAGGCUCUUUAAUCAAUUCAUGUUGCUGCCCAUUCAAAAACUUUGACAUGUCAAGUAUAUGUUCUCUUACUCUAGCUGACAAAGAUCCUUCAGAAGGGCUGCGGUUGGAUAUUGAAGCAAUAGAUACAUACUUUGACCGACGCUUUCUUGAGCUUGAGAUGAUGAGGCAGGAAGCCAUAAAAAGUGCAAAGAGGAGGAGACAUUACGAGGAAGAACAUACCUGUUAUGUGAUGCAUUAGAAUGAUUUCCUUUGUAUUUUUUUUUCUAAAUAUUUUUUUUUUGUAUUCGUUUAAAUCAUUUGAUUUGAUUUCUGACAGCCUUGCUUUUCUCGUUUUUCUUGACGGAAUAUGCUUUUGUUGGUAUGGGAUAUGGCCUGCAAUAGGCCGUGUUAUUUUAAUAGAUACUAUAUGUGAAUGUCACGUUACGAAAUAGAGCUAGUUUUUGAUUAA
RNA transcript from Glycine soja, 2579 nucleotides. It is a transcript of the gene named serine/threonine-protein kinase WNK8-like, with no coding region annotated. The record is from RefSeq and is a predicted model, not a curated record. The transcript is spliced from 7 exons. NCBI's taxonomy places the organism in Eukaryota, Viridiplantae, Streptophyta, Magnoliopsida, Fabales, Fabaceae.